Molecule: long non-coding RNA, 5380 nt
Organism: Amphiprion ocellaris (clown anemonefish)
Lineage: Eukaryota; Metazoa; Chordata; Actinopteri; Pomacentridae
Exons: 3
Source: RefSeq, a predicted model, not a curated record
CUUCUCAGUGCCGACAUUCUUCAGAUACUGUAUGUCAUGGAGCUCUGAGAUUCAUUACAAAGCAUUGUUCCCUGUUCAUCCAAGUCAGCUGGUCCUUUUUAACCUCCGCUAGAUUCAAGUGUUGGAUUAUUUAGAAAACCUUUUGGAGUUUCAACCACCUUAUUUAUGUUCUCUGCUCAGCGCUUCUUCACAGCAGCUCCUUCAGCCUUCCAAAGCAGCCUGAUUCUCAUGACAGCUCAUUUUAGAGUGGAGUGAAUGUUGUACAAAGAAACCAGGCAGUUUUCCAGUCCGCCCCGUGCCGUGGCCUCCUCAGGACCCCGCUGUGUGCUGCCUCUGCCCCGGCUAGAGGAUCCGUCCACCCGCUCCCUGCUCCUCCUCUCAGCGCACUCUCCGGUGCAGGGCGCGUUCCCGAGCCGCGCGUUUAAAACCUUAAUCGGAGCUAUUUAGUUAUUAAGCCACUUUUAGCUGUUAUUCAUCACGCACACUCUGCCGCCCCCUCCUCUCCGGCUAAAAACGGUGUGGAACUGAAUGAAUCGGAAGCUUAAUAGUGCGUCCGAGUCAUUAGAGAACAUUAGCGCAGCGGGCUGCUGCUGGCGGGAACAGCAGAUAUGAUACUGCAGUGAAAUGCAGGUGAAUCCACCCUGACAGCACCCACUAACUCCCUUGUAGUUCUGCUCGAAGUAAACACAUUUUCAACUAAAAAGAAGAGCUGUGUAAAAAAUAAAAGCAGGGCUGGUUGGUAAUAUUAAAGUGCCCGAAGCGCACCGAGCGUUUUUAAAAGUCCCAGCGAAAAAAAAAAGCCCAGUGAAAUGUUGUCAUACUGUGCUUCUGGAUAAAGGUGUCCAAUUAAGAUAAAAUAUCAGCAUCAACACAGACACUUCUUACGUUUCUAUUUCCACGAUGCAUUUUAAAACUGUGGUACUGUUUUCAUCGCGGGGCUGCACGGUGGCGCGGUGGCUAGCACCUUUAUCUUGCAGCUAGAAGAUCCCCGGUUCGCGUCCCCGCCUUCCCGGAUCUCUCUGCACGGAGUUUGCAUGCGUUGGUUUUCUCCUGCUUCCUCCCACAGAGUCCAAAAACACGCUGAGGUUAAUUAGUGAUUGUCUGUAGGUGUGAACUGUGUGUGAUUGUCUCUCUGUGUAGCCCUGUGAUAGACUGGUGACCUGUCCAGAUGCCCCCUGACUUCACCCUAAGUCAGCUGGGAUAGACUCCAGCCCCCCCGCGACCCUAAUGAGGAUUCAGCGGCGUAUAGAUAAUGGACGGAUGUUUCCAUCUAUUUCUUCUGCAAUAACAUCUACAGCUAACGCGAUGGACUGUGUGGCUGGAUGGAGACCUACCUUCAGUCCUGUCCGGGUGUCAGACUGGAGCCAGAGCAGAGCAGCAGAGGACUGUGCAGAGCAGCGUGGAACAAGACUGACACAACACGGACACACACUCCACUUUUCAACCACAAAACACAGGCACCAAGGACGACUUUCUUUGCAGAUAAAUCAAGGAGUGAGUGUACACAAACACGCAGGAGUGCAGGUUAUGCUGCAGACUCACUGGAGCAUGGAUGGUAGUGUUUGUACUCUGUGACAAACUUGUGCCUCCAAUUUUGUUGGUUUUAGGAAUAAAUUCUCCUCCAUGAGUCAUUUUCCAAUUCUACACACAUAAAACACUUGACAUAACAGCAGGAAUAGUUCACGUAACGCUAGUUUUAUUUAUUUCUAAAAUGGAGAUACAAGGUUUACAGCUGACAGCAGUACUACAUGAGUAUUUGCAGAAGUCGUAUUUAAAUGCUAUCACCCACUGAUGAAUGAACUUACAGGCACCUAUGGUUUCUAACUGAAUGUCUGAGUUCUAUUUCAUGUAGUUCUGCCGCUUCAUUAUACUAUCACAGAAAAAUAAUUAACAGUAUUAAUAUGAAACUAAAUCCGCACAAAUUUCAAACUUUUGUGAGAAAAUUUUGCAAAUGUAACGUAUACAGGUUGAAAUUUAUAAACGUCUGUUCUCUGAUAAUUUGCAGGUUUCUCAUGGCCACUACUGACAUGAAUCUAUUACGAUACCACUGUAUGUUUCAGUCUGUGGUCUUAGAAUUUUAAUCCAUUUAAUUCAAACUGUGUUGCUUCCAUUUACUUUGGAACAGAAUUAUUUUUGAAAAAUCUUAACAUUGUUUUACUUUUUAAGACAGAAAAGGAUAAUUCACAUUUUGUUUUUGUACAAAUACAAACCCAGUAUAUAUGCAAUUUAUACAGCAUUCAAAUGAAAAGAAAAAUGAUGUUUUCUAAAAAAAAAAAAAAAAAAAAAGGUGCGAAGGCUUGCAUGUUCAUCUUUGCCUUCAGAACAUUUUUUUGACCUUUCAGGAGACCAUCAGAAGAUGUCAAAAAUGCAUCAGUAGCACAUUUAAAACAAGUCGGUUUCGUUGGCUCCAUUUUUCAUGCAAAGUUGUGACAACGGCACUAUCAAUCAAGUCUUGCUUUAGGAGGCUGAGAGGCACAGUUAAAUGGAAAUGCAGCAUAUUUAAUGACACGGCUCAUAUCUAUCCUAAUGCUCAGUGCCCACUUUAUUAGGUACACCUGUAUAAUACCUAAUAUACCUGAUAUAAUAUUAAAUUGUGUAGCUGCACCUAUGUUUUGCUGGGUUCUUUUGUCUUGUUGGGAAUAACAGUGAGCAUGAGUAUUGUCAUUUACAGUUGAUUCUUCUUAGAACAAGUUGGAAAUAUGGAUCUCACAUAUUGAAUUUUAUUUUCUGGUGAGUGCUGGUAUGGGAAGAUUUAAGCCUCUGCACCGUCUUGUUAUCUGCUCUAGUCUUUGUACUGUGUGUGUGAGUCUACUCCUUCCCUCACUUUCCCUCUGCUUCCAUGUGUGGCUGUAUCAGCAUUCAUGUGUGUGUGUGUGUGUGUGUGUGUGUGUGUAUAAAUGUGAUCAGGAAUUCAUUAGUUGAGAGGAAGCUCUAUGCCGCAGUCUGUUUUCUGUCAGUCUGUCGCACGCUGAUUUUUUUUUUCCCAAGGCCAAGAGGAUAUCCCUUACACACACACACACACACACACACACACACACACACACACACACACACACACACACACACACACACACACACACACACACACACACACACACACACACACACACACACACACACACAUACACACACACACAAAGCCUUUUUAACUGCAAACCCACAGACCUUAGCCAAGGAGAGUUUCCUUAAAAUCCUAUGUUGCUAGUCGCAGAGCAAAAAUGUUCAAUAGUAAACUCAAAUAUUACAGUACUCUCCAUACUGUAGUAUUUAUUAUAUGCUACUAGCAUAAUAACUGAUUUAAAGACUCCUCAGCACUGUGUGAUUACAACUAUUUCAGACACCAACCCCAAGAUCAGAUUACUAUUAUUUCUAUUUUGUAAGUUAGUUUUUCAUUGCAUCUUAAAUGGUAGCUGUAUUAAAAUGCUGUGAUUACAUGUGCUGGUAGAAUAUUAAAAGAUACCGAGACUUGGCUCAGGCAAAUUUCUGGAGAGGAGAGGAAAGGGAUGAAGGCGGACAGAUUUUGGUUUGCUGCUGGUUUAAUGUGAGCAUUCAUCAGAUGCAGUAGGUUCGUGUGCACUGUCUGCUCUGACCAGCAGGGGACAGAAUAAACUCCCUUUAAUGUUCACAAGAUGAUGUUUGCCCAAUGAAUGCAAGAAUACUGCUUCUUGUACUGCUUAAUGCAGUCGCUGCUCCUGUGGCCUCCAUUAGCAGUACUAGGGCUAUUCUGAAUGAGAGAGCUACGAGGUUAACUCACAUGUCAAAAAUACACAAGUUGUGAAAUUACAGAACUAUGCCAAAGUCUUAGUUCACUGUAAGGUGUAAUGUUUUUACCAAGUUAUAUUAUCACCACACAGAAAAAUGCAGUGCUGUAAAAAAAAAAAAAAAACAAAACACUUUUUAUUAAGGGGCAAAUUCUAAGUGUGUGAAGUCUUUUGAGAAAAAAAGUCUUUGGGGAAAAAAAGUCAUCAUUUUAUACCAGCAAGGCCACUCUCAAAGCAAAUCAGCAAACAAACUGGAUACUGAAGAUGUGGUAAUUAUGCUGUUACAAACUAAUUUCAAGACUCUGGAGAGAAAGCUGUCGGUGUCUGAUCAGAUGUUUCUUACAGGUUCUCAUUUCAGAGACAGGAGGAGAAUUUGCUCAGCAUCUGGCAGCUUCAUCUAGAUGCCAAUCUGAUCUAUCUACAGUCCAGAGAAGCUUGAUGAAGAAUGAUUUCUGUGGAAGGGUAGCAGCCAAGAAACCUCCUUUUCCAAAGGGUGACAUGGCUAAAAGCCUGAAAUGUGCAAAAUCUCAAAGACUGGAGUGAAGAUCAAUGGAAAAAAGUCAGAUGAAGUGAUGAAUCGAUAUUUCAAAUGUUCUGGUCCAACUGCCGACAACAUGAAAGAUAAAAAUGAGAGAGAGAGCUCCAAGAAAGAGCGUUUGCAGCGUCUAGUGACACACAGAGGAAGCUCUGUCAGGGUUUGGGGCUGCAUUUCUGCCAGCGUUCAGGAUAUUGUCCAAAUCAAUGAAGUCCUGAAUGUUAAUGAUAACAAGCAAAUUCUGAUCUUUCACUGCAUUCCCUCUAGAAAGCUCUGAUUGAUCACAGGCUAUUUUUCAGCAUGAUCAUGAUCUCAAGCAGAUUGCUAAUGCAGUGAAAUCACAUGUGACGUAAAAACAAAAACAAAAAGCUGAUAAAGCAGUGACAGUGAUAGACUGGCCUCCACAGAGUCCAGACCUGAAUGUUACAGAAGUUGUAUGGGAUUGUGUGGGCACAGGAAAAGAAGUGCUGAGGGAAGGUUGGUAUAAUGCAACACAAGAUUCCUAAAGAAAACCUCAAGACAGGCUACCCACCCUUUGCUCAUUGCAAAGGGAGGUCACACAAAAUACUGACCGUAACCCGUAGAAGCUAUUUUGGUCAACGAUUUUCUGUGCUUUUAAUAAUGUGUACUUAUUUCCUGUAUGUUCUUGUUAUGUCUUAAUAAAAAGCUGGUAAAUGCAUAUAUAUGCUCAUUAAAAACUUGCUAAAGCAACAAAUCUAAAAGGGGCCUAAUGCUAUAACACAGUACUAUAAGUAUCAGAGAACUUCCUGUUAAGUGAAAUGUAGAAUAAACACCACAGUACUUUUUUAUUAUUAGUCAAGUAGUAGCGAUGAAAGUAGACUACAAUACUAGGUGUUUUGAACAAUGUCUUAAUUAAGAGUUAGUCAAAUGCAUGGGGGACACAAUCAUUAACCUCUUUACUUACAGAGCAGAAGAAGUUUUCGCACAAAGUCCAAUAAAAACAUCACAAGUAUAUAAUUAAUCAUCAGUGCACAUCUGUGUGUAACAUUAACUGUUAGGUCCUCACUGAAUCUGUCUCUAUGUCGGGGACAAUCUAUAAUUCUGAGUAAUUAAUAAAGUUACA